GACGAACGCUGGCGGCGCGCUUAACACAUGCAAGUCGAACGGCCCUUUCGGGGUCAGUGGCGAACGGGUGCGUAACACGUGAGCAACCUGCCUGGAGUUGGGGGAUAACCUCGGGAAACCGGGGCUAAUACCGCAUGCGCUCUCGCUGUCGGAUGGUGGCGGGAGGAAAGCAGCUAAGGCUGUGACUUCAGAGGGGCUCGCGGCGUAUCAGCUAGUUGGUGAGGUGAAGGCUCACCAAGGCGACGACGCGUAGGGGGUCUGAGAGGAUGGCCCCCCACAUUGGGACUGAGAUACGGCCCAG
Molecule: ribosomal RNA, 301 nt
Filed under: uncultured bacterium
Lineage: Bacteria
Description: bacterial SSU rRNA
Rfam family: Bacterial small subunit ribosomal RNA
Source: RNAcentral